UACAGAGGGUGCAAGCGUUGUUCGGAAUUAUUGGGCGUAAAGCGCGUGUAGGCGGCCCGGUAAGUCCGCUGUGAAAGUCGGGGGCUCAACCCUCGGAUGCCGGUGGAUACUGUCGGGCUAGAGUGCGGAAGAGGCGAGUGGAAUUCCUGGUGUAGCGGUGAAAUGCGCAGAUAUCAGGAGGAACACCAAUUGCGAAGGCAGCUCGCUGGGACGUUACUGACGCUGAGACGCGAAAGCGUGGGGAGCAAACAGG
RNAcentral lists this ribosomal RNA (253 nucleotides) under uncultured bacterium. RNAcentral describes it as "partial 16S ribosomal RNA". It matches the Rfam family "Bacterial small subunit ribosomal RNA", at positions 524 to 776 of the family's 1533-position model. The record is from RNAcentral.